GCCAGUGCAUUCUAUGGUGAAGUAGUUUUGUUUAACUUUUGUGUGAUGUUGACAUUGACAUUGUUUUAAUGAAAUCUAACAGUGUAAAAUCUAACAAUAAAAUAAACAAACAAAAUUUGUGAUAUUUUAUUGUUAAUCUUCCUGGAUCAUGAGUUUGGGCAGUAUAGCAAUAGGCUGAAUAAAGAAAUAAUUACUGGCAACCUGGUAAAGUUAGAAGAUAAAGAUGUGAUCAUUCCCACAUCAAAAUCUUUCUUCUUUUCCUCCAGAUUUCAAGAAAGAACUAAAGGAGUCUCAAGAACGAAGGAAAGGAAGCAACGAUGAAUGAAAGAAGCCAAACCAGGGGAUGCGUAACUCAAGAAUCACAACACGCUGUGAAUAAUUCUCAAAGGAAGCCCAAGCUUCUUUUUCUCCCACUUGCUUUGUCAGGCAGCAGCAUCUCUCAGAUGUUCCCUGUCCUGAAUGGAACAUGCUUCAUGCAUGUUAGGAGCUUCAUGCUUCUGUAGUUUCUCAAUGCCUGUGGAAGGCAGCAUCAUCCCUGAGAUGGUGGCUCUCUUGAAUGGAACAUGCUUCAUGCAUGUUAGGAGCUUCAUGCUUCUGUAGUUUCUCAAUGCCUGUGGAAGGCAGCAUCAUCCCUAAGAUGGUGGCUCUCUUGAAUGGAACACGCUUCAUGCAUGUUCCAUUCUGCCCUCUGAAGAAUGGUUUGGCAAGAAGAAACAGAAUUGGCACACCUUUCUCGAAGACCUCCAUGCCUGGAUGUUGACGGAACCUUUUCUCCUCCCAGGUGGCCUCCGUGGCAGAUUUCUAGAAAGAACUAAAAGAAUCUGAAGAAAGAACGAAAGGAAGCAACAAUGCACGACAGAAGCCAAACCAGGGGCUCCAUUGACAGAUGUUCCCUGUCCUGAAUGCAACAUGCUUCAUGCGUGUUAGGAGCUUCAGGCUUCUAUAUUUUCCCAAUGGCUGUGGGAGGCAGCAUCAUCCCUAAGGUGGUGGCUGUCUUGAAUGGGACAUGCUUCAUGCAUGUUCCAUUCUGCCCUCUGAAGAAUGGUUUGGCAAGAAGAAACAGAAUUGGCGCACUUUCUUCAAGGACCUCCAUGCCUGAACAUGGAUGUGGAAACGUUUUCUCCUCCCAAGCUGCCUCUGUGGCAGAUUUCAAGAAAGAACAAAAGGAAGCAACAAUGCAUGACAGAAGCCAAACCAGGGUCUGCAUUGAUAGAUGGCCCCUGUCCUGAAUGCAACAUGCUUCAUGCGUGUUAGGAGCUUCAGGCUUCUGUAUUUUCCCAAUGCCUGUGGGAGGCAGCAUCAUCCCUAAGAUGGAGGCUCUCUUGAAUGGAACAUGCUUCAUGCAUGUUCCAUUCUGCCCUCUGAAGAAUGGUUUGGCAAGAAGAAACAGAAUUGGCGCACCUUCUUCAAGGACCUCCAUGCCUGAACGUGGAUGUGGAAACGUUUUCUCCUCCGAAGUGGCCACUGUGGCAGGUAAGACUGAAAGGGAAGGAUGGGAGGGACCAAUAAAAAUAUAUAUAUGUCAACGAGGGCUGUAUUAACUCCUAUUUGAAUGUUCUUACUUGCUUAUAAAGAUCUUGAAUAUACAGUUUCAAGUGCUCUAUUUAAAUUUGUCUCCCUAGCAGAUGUUCCUCUUGAGUUUUGUGCAGGCCUAUUGAAAAGUGAUCUUACUAAACAAAUGCAGGGACGCAGGAGCUGAGGUCCUGCGGUCAGGGUGAUGUGCUGGCAACCUCUCCCCUGUAGCUGACACAGUGAGGAAGGGACGCAGGAGCUGAGGUCCUGCGGUCAGGGUGAUGUGCUGGCAACCUCUCCCCUGUAGCUGACACAGUGAGGAAGGGACGCAGGAGCUGAGGUCCUGCGGUCAGGGUGAUGUGCUGGCAACCUCUCCCCUGUAGCUGACACAGUGAGGCAGGGACGCAGGAGCUGAGGUCCUGCGGUCAGGGUGAAG
This is a long non-coding RNA of Hemicordylus capensis (graceful crag lizard), 1948 nucleotides long. RefSeq lists it as uncharacterized. The record is from RefSeq and is a predicted model, not a curated record. The transcript has 3 exons. NCBI's taxonomy places the organism in Eukaryota, Metazoa, Chordata, Lepidosauria, Squamata, Cordylidae.